Molecule: long non-coding RNA, 576 nt
Organism: Apis dorsata (giant honeybee)
Lineage: Eukaryota; Metazoa; Arthropoda; Insecta; Hymenoptera; Apidae
Exons: 2
Source: RefSeq, a predicted model, not a curated record
CCCUCCACCCCCCCCCCCCCCCCCGCCCCCCCCCCCCCCUCCACCCCCCCCCCCCCCCCCUCCACCACCACAAUCGUCAUUUCUUCAAAUUUCGACGCAUAAGUCGCCGAUUACACCAACCACUCCAAAUAAUGAUAGAAACAUCAGGUCGCCCUCGAGAAAGUGCUCGACACCACUGUUUAAUAGGCCAGCUAUAACUGUCGAGGAUUUGCUGAAGGUGACCCUAAAAAAAGCACCGCAAAACUUUAAGGAGAAUAGAAGAAACACGAUACCAGGACCAAAGGGACCCGUCGUUUCCUUAGACAUGUUACGUAGUGUGAAAUUAAAAUCUGCCAGGCGCAGAACGACUGAUCAAAUCAUAAGGUCUCCAAGGAGCGGACGAAUAAUUAAAACGCGAACAGCACCAAGUCUCAGUUUGUCUCCGAUUACAAAAAAUUCGGAAAACUCGUUAGGGCGAAUUUUAAAACAAGUGGAAAUUAAUAAACGUGGCCCAAGACGUUUAUUGUCGAGCUCGUCAAGUUUUCGCGAAAAUAUUAUUGCAAAAGAUAAUCAAUUAUCGAGCGUAGAUACGAAAAA